RNAcentral lists this ribosomal RNA (403 nucleotides) under uncultured fungus. RNAcentral describes it as "eukaryotic LSU rRNA". The record is from RNAcentral. Lineage: Eukaryota; Fungi.
AGAGUUAAACAGUGCGUGAAAUUGUUGAAAGGGAAACGUUUGGCACCAGUCAUGCGUCUAGGAAAUCAGUCUAUCGAUGUGGGGAGUGGUAAGAGUUUGGACCGCAAGGCCAGCUUUUGCUGCAUUCCUAUUUGGAUGGAUGCACUUUUCUAGAUGCAGGUCAACAUCAGUUUCGCUUGCCGGACAAAACUCUUGGGAAUGUGGCAGCUUUGGCUGUGUUAUAGCCCUGGAGCGAUACGGUGGGUGGGACUGAGGCUUGCAGUGUGUGCUUUCGGGCAAGGCUGACCGGGUGCUAUGGGAAGGUUCGGAGUACAAUGCAUGCAUUUUGCUCCGUGUCCGUCUUGUACUCGCUUGAAUCAGCUCUUCCACACUUAGGAUGUUGACAUAAUGGUUUUAAACGACC